Molecule: long non-coding RNA, 319 nt
Organism: Myotis myotis
Lineage: Eukaryota; Metazoa; Chordata; Mammalia; Chiroptera; Vespertilionidae
Exons: 3
Source: RefSeq, a predicted model, not a curated record
CCAUUUGGCACCGUUGCCCAUUGGCUCCGCGGGCCGCCUCACGUGACCGCGCCCAGGGCGGCGCCGCCGGGGGCACCGGCGACCUGCAGGGCUGGGCGACGGGGACCCGGCGGUUGGCGGCGACCAGAACCCAGUGUGGCCGAUAUUGCUCCUAUUUUACAGAUGAGGACAAUGAAGCUCAGAAAUAUUAAUUACUUGUCCAGCGUCUCGGUGCUGCUAUCCUUGCCCCCUGUCAGUUUCCAGAGUGAUCUUCCCCUCAAGCCAGACUGGGUCUGCCACCGGCCUGCUUGGCGUCUCCUGCCACCUGCAUGGUACGAGG